This 468-nucleotide ribosomal RNA is filed under the name uncultured bacterium. RNAcentral describes it as "partial 16S ribosomal RNA". It matches the Rfam family "Bacterial small subunit ribosomal RNA", at positions 28 to 507 of the family's 1533-position model. The record is from RNAcentral.
GACGAACGCUGGCGGCGUGCUUAACACAUGCAAGUCGAACGGAAAGGCCCUGCUUUUGUUGUGGGCUCGAGUUACUAACGUGUGGAUAACGCGUGAAUAACCUGCCCGUUACGUUGGUAAAACGUCAGUAAACUUGGGCAAAUACCGGAUAUUAGCUCCUGGUGCAUAGGGGGGUUUGGAAAGUUUCGGCGGUUGGUGAUGUACUCGCGGCUGAUCAGCUUGUUGGUGGGGUAGUUGCUUACGAAGGCGUUGACGGAUAGCCGGCCGGCGAGGGUGACCGGCGACACUGGCAAUGCUACUAGGGCAAGCAUCCUACGGGAGGCAGCCGCGGGGAAUAUUGCACAAUGGGAGGAAGCCUGCUGCAGCAAUGCCGCGUGCGGGAUGAUGGCCUCCUGGUUGCAACCAGCUUUCGCCCGUGAUGAAGCGUGAGUGACGGUAAUGGGUAAAGAAGCACCGGCUAACUACGUG